GGGUUGUGAGGUUAAGCGACUAAGCGUACACGGUGGAUGCCCUGGCAGUCAGAGGCGAUGAAGGGCGUGCUAAUCUGCGAUAAGCGCCGGUAAGGUGAUAUGAACCGUUAUAACCGGCGAUACCCGAAUGGGGAAACCCAGUGUGAUUCGUCACACUAUCAUUAACUGAAUCCAUAGGUUAAUGAGGCGAACCGGGGGAACUGAAACAUCUAAGUACCCCGAGGAAAAGAAAUCAACCGAGAUUCCCCCAGUAGCGGCGAGCGAACGGGGAGGAGCCCAGAGCCUGAAUCAGCAUGUGUGUUAGUGGAAGCGUCUGGAAAGGCGCGCGAUACAGGGUGACAGCCCCGUACACAAAAGCGCAUGUGCUGUGAGCUCGAUGAGUAGGGCGGGACACGUGGUAUCCUGUCUGAAUAUGGGGGGACCAUCCUCCAAGGCUAAAUACUCCUGACUGACCGAUAGUGAACCAGUACCGUGAGGGAAAGGCGAAAAGAACCCCGGCGAGGGGAGUGAAAAAGAACCUGAAACCGUGUACGUACAAGCAGUGGGAGCACAGGUUUACCUGUGUGACUGCGUACCUUUUGUAUAAUGGGUCAGCGACUUAUAUUCUGUAGCAAGGUUAACCGAAUAGGGGAGCCGGAGGGAAACCGAGUCUUAAUUGGGCGUUAAGUUGCAGGGUAUAGACCCGAAACCCGGUGAUCUAGCCAUGGGCAGGUUGAAGGUUGGGUAACACUAACUGGAGGACCGAACCGACUAAUGUUGAAAAAUUAGCGGAUGACCUGUGGCUGGGGGUGAAAGGCCAAUCAAACCGGGAGAUAGCUGGUUCUCCCCGAAAGCUAUUUAGGUAGCGCCUCGUGAAUUCAUCUCCGGGGGUAGAGCACUGUUUCGGCUAGGGGGCCAUCCCGGCUUACCAACCCGAUGCAAACUGCGAAUACCGGAGAAUGUUAUCACGGGAGACACACGGCGGGUGCUAACGUCCGUCGUGAAGAGGGAAACAACCCAGACCGCCAGCUAAGGUCCCAAAGUCAUGGUUAAGUGGGAAACGAUGUGGGAAGGCCCAGACAGCCAGGAUGUUGGCUUAGAAGCAGCCAUCAUUUAAAGAAAGCGUAAUAGCUCACUGGUCGAGUCGGCCUGCGCGGAAGAUGUAACGGGGCUAAACCAUGCACCGAAGCUGCGGCAGCGACGCUUAUGCGUUGGGUAGGGGAGCGUUCUGUAAGCCUGUGAAGGUGUGUCGUGAGGCAUGCUGGAGGUAUCAGAAGUGCGAAUGCUGACAUAAGUAACGAUAAAGCGGGUGAAAAGCCCGCUCGCCGGAAGACCAAGGGUUCCUGUCCAACGUUAAUCGGGGCAGGGUGAGUCGACCCCUAAGGCGAGGCCGAAAGGCGUAGUCGAUGGGAAACGGGUUAAUAUUCCCGUACUUGGUGUUACUGCGAAGGGGGGACGGAGAAGGCUAUGUUGGCCGGGCGACGGUUGUCCCGGUUUAAGCGUGUAGGUGUGUGUUCCAGGUAAAUCCGGUUCACUUUAACACUGAGGCGUGAUGACGAGGCACUACGGUGCUGAAGUAACAAAUGCCCUGCUUCCAGGAAAAGCCUCUAAGCAUCAGGUAACAUCAAAUCGUACCCCAAACCGACACAGGUGGUCAGGUAGAGAAUACCAAGGCGCUUGAGAGAACUCGGGUGAAGGAACUAGGCAAAAUGGUGCCGUAACUUCGGGAGAAGGCACGCUGACACGUAGGUGAAGUGAUUUACUCAUGGAGCUGAAGUCAGUCGAAGAUACCAGCUGGCUGCAACUGUUUAUUAAAAACACAGCACUGUGCAAACACGAAAGUGGACGUAUACGGUGUGACGCCUGCCCGGUGCCGGAAGGUUAAUUGAUGGGGUCAGCGCAAGCGAAGCUCCUGAUCGAAGCCCCGGUAAACGGCGGCCGUAACUAUAACGGUCCUAAGGUAGCGAAAUUCCUUGUCGGGUAAGUUCCGACCUGCACGAAUGGCGUAAUGAUGGCCAGGCUGUCUCCACCCGAGACUCAGUGAAAUUGAACUCGCUGUGAAGAUGCAGUGUACCCGCGGCAAGACGGAAAGACCCCGUGAACCUUUACUAUAGCUUGACACUGAACAUUGAGCCUUGAUGUGUAGGAUAGGUGGGAGGCUUUGAAGUGUGGACGCCAGUCUGCAUGGAGCCGACCUUGAAAUACCACCCUUUAAUGUUUGAUGUUCUAACGUGGACCCGUGAUCCGGGUUGCGGACAGUGUCUGGUGGGUAGUUUGACUGGGGCGGUCUCCUCCUAAAGAGUAACGGAGGAGCACGAAGGUUGGCUAAUCCUGGUCGGACAUCAGGAGGUUAGUGCAAUGGCAUAAGCCAGCUUGACUGCGAGCGUGACGGCGCGAGCAGGUGCGAAAGCAGGUCAUAGUGAUCCGGUGGUUCUGAAUGGAAGGGCCAUCGCUCAACGGAUAAAAGGUACUCCGGGGAUAACAGGCUGAUACCGCCCAAGAGUUCAUAUCGACGGCGGUGUUUGGCACCUCGAUGUCGGCUCAUCACAUCCUGGGGCUGAAGUAGGUCCCAAGGGUAUGGCUGUUCGCCAUUUAAAGUGGUACGCGAGCUGGGUUUAGAACGUCGUGAGACAGUUCGGUCCCUAUCUGCCGUGGGCGCUGGAGAACUGAGGGGGGCUGCUCCUAGUACGAGAGGACCGGAGUGGACGCAUCACUGGUGUUCGGGUUGUCAUGCCAAUGGCACUGCCCGGUAGCUAAAUGCGGAAGAGAUAAGUGCUGAAAGCAUCUAAGCACGAAACUUGCCCCGAGAUGAGUUCUCCCUGAGACUUAAAGUCUCCUGAAGGAACGUUGAAGACGACGACGUUGAUAGGCCGGGUGUGUAAGCGCAGCGAUGCGUUGAGCUAACCGGUACUAAUGAACCGUGAGGCUUAACCUUACAACGCCGAAG
Molecule: ribosomal RNA, 2926 nt
Filed under: Salmonella enterica subsp. enterica serovar Dublin
Lineage: Bacteria; Pseudomonadati; Pseudomonadota; Gammaproteobacteria; Enterobacterales; Enterobacteriaceae
Description: bacterial LSU rRNA
Rfam family: Bacterial large subunit ribosomal RNA
Source: RNAcentral